ACGCUAGCUACAGGCUUAACACAUGCAAGUCGAGGGGAAACGGCAUUAAGUGCUUGCACUUUUUGGACGUCGACCGGCGCACGGGUGAGUAACGCGUAUCCAACCUUCCCAUGACUAAGGGAUAACCUGCCGAAAGGCAGACUAAUACCUUAUGGUCUUCACUGACGGCAUCAGAUGUGAAGUAAAGAUUUAUCGGUUAUGGAUGGGGAUGCGUCUGAUUAGCUUGUUGGCGGGGUAACGGCCCACCAAGGCAACGAUCAGUAGGGGUUCUGAGAGGAAGGUCCCCCACAUUGGAACUGAGACACGGUCCAAACUCCUACGGGAGGCAGCAGUGAGGAAUAUUGGUCAGUGGGCGAGAGCCUGAACCAGCCAAGUAGCGUGCAGGAAGACGGCCCUAUGGGUUGUAAACUGCUUUUGUAUGGGGAUAAAGUCAAUCACGUGUGAUUGUUUGCAAGUACCAUACGAAUAAGGACCGGCUAAUUCCGUGCCAGCAGCCGCGGUAAUACGGAAGGUCCGGGCGUUAUCCGGAUUUAUUGGGUUUAAAGGGAGCGUAGGCUGGAGAUUAAGUGUGUUGUGAAAUGUAGACGCUCAACGUCUGACUUGCAGCGCAUACUGGUUUCCUUGAGUACGCACAACGUUGGCGGAAUUCGUCGUGUAGCGGUGAAAUGCUUAGAUAUGACGAAGAACUCCGAUUGCGAAGGCAGCUGACGGGAGCGCAACUGACGCUGAAGCUCGAAGGUGCGGGUAUCGAACAGGAUUAGAUACCCUGGUAGUCCGCACAGUAAACGAUGGAUGCCCGCUGUUGGUACCUGGUAUCAGCGGCUAAGCGAAAGCAUUAAGCAUCCCACCUGGGGAGUACGCCGGCAACGGUGAAACUCAAAGGAAUUGACGGGGGCCCGCACAAGCGGA
Molecule: ribosomal RNA, 909 nt
Filed under: uncultured bacterium
Lineage: Bacteria
Description: bacterial SSU rRNA
Rfam family: Bacterial small subunit ribosomal RNA
Source: RNAcentral